This 251-nucleotide ribosomal RNA is filed under the name uncultured bacterium. RNAcentral's name for it is "partial 16S ribosomal RNA". It matches the Rfam family "Bacterial small subunit ribosomal RNA", at positions 1249 to 1500 of the family's 1533-position model. The record is from RNAcentral.
ACAACAUCGCGAGGUGAAGCAAAUCCCAAAAAAGUGUCUCAGUUCAGAUUGUAGUCUGCAACCCGACUACAUGAAGCUGGAAUCGCUAGUAAUCGCGAAUCAGAAUGUCGCGGUGAAUACGUUCCCGGGUCUUGUACACACCGCCCGUCACACCAUGGGAGCCGGAAAUGCCCGAAGUCUGUGACUCAACCGAGAGGGGAGAGCAGCCGAAGGUGGAGCUGGUAACUGGGGUGAAGUCGUAACAAGGUACC